AUGGAAGCCUGGACUCGUGAAAUCAGGCUUGCUGAAGAUGUGGACAAGCUCAAACUUGAGAUGAAGUACGUGGAGAUGGUUCUUGCUGCUGCAAAGGGUAGGAGGAUCGACAACCAGCCUCUGGCCCAGUCACUGGAUGAUCUCAUAGAGCUGCUUUAUGACUCGGAGGAUGUGAUGGACGAGCUCGACUACUACCGACUCCAGCAACAGAUCGAACAAGGGAAAGGCUGUAGUGCACCUGCAGGCACUAAUCCUGAGGGAAGCUAUGUGCCCUCAUCCUCUUCUGUUGCUAAAUUAUUACGCAGCGCCACAAGCCAAAUAACUGAUUGGAUCUCGCGUGUCAGAAAAAGUAAACGUGAAGAGGAGGGGCCAUCUCAUUGUAACAUGCCGCCUUUUCAGAUUAAAGAUAGCAUUUCUAAGAGGAUCAAUGAAACAGUGAAUCUUCUGCACAGUAAUGGAAAUUUUGUGCAGAGGGCUCUUCAGCUUGAGACCUUGCCAGAAUAUUCAAGUAAGAGUCAGAAUAUUGCCAGGAAUGCUGGCAUGACAACUUCUCUUUCAACUGAAUGUCAGGUGUACGGGAGGGAUGCAGAAAGAGACAUGAUAAUAGACCUGUUGAUAAAGGGGGGAUCUGGUGAUCUGAAUGUUUUGCCAGUGAUAUCUUAG
This 663-nucleotide ribosomal RNA is filed under the name Triticum aestivum (bread wheat). RNAcentral describes it as "partial small subunit ribosomal RNA". Lineage: Eukaryota; Viridiplantae; Streptophyta; Magnoliopsida; Poales; Poaceae. The record is from RNAcentral.